This 468-nucleotide ribosomal RNA is filed under the name uncultured bacterium. Its description in RNAcentral is "partial 16S ribosomal RNA". It matches the Rfam family "Bacterial small subunit ribosomal RNA", at positions 28 to 507 of the family's 1533-position model. The record is from RNAcentral.
GACGAACGCUGGCGGCGUGCUUAACGCAUGCAAGUCGAACGGAAAGGCCCUGCUUUUGUGGGGUGCUCGAGUGGCGAACGGGUGAGUAACACGUGAGUAACCUGCCCUUGACUUUGGGAUAACUUCAGGAAACUGGGGCUAAUACCGGAUAGGAGCUCCUGCUGCAUGGUGGGGGUUGGAAAGUUUCGGCGGUUGGGGAUGGACUCGCGGCUUAUCAGCUUGUUGGUGGGGUAGUGGCUUACCAAGGCUUUGACGGGUAGCCGGCCUGAGAGGGUGACCGGCGACAUUGGGACUGAGAUACGGCCCAGACUCCUACGGGAGGCAGCAGUGGGGAAUAUUGCACAAUGGGCGGAAGCCUGAUGCAGCAACGCCGCGUGCGGGAUGACGGCCUUCGGGUUGUAAACCGCUUUCGCCUGUGACGAAGCGUGAGUGACGGUAAUGGGUAAAGAAGCACCGGCUAACUACGUG